Sapajus apella (tufted capuchin) is the source of this 1378-nucleotide RNA transcript. It is a transcript of the gene named inhibitor of growth protein 1-like, with no coding region annotated. The transcript has a single exon. The record is from RefSeq and is a predicted model, not a curated record. NCBI's taxonomy places the organism in Eukaryota, Metazoa, Chordata, Mammalia, Primates, Cebidae.
GUGACCGGGGCCCUUGGCGCGGAGACUUUGCUGGAGGAGAACCUGAAGGACCUGGACGAGUGCUACAACGUCCGCCGCGACAGGGACGGCGUGCAGAAGCCGCGGGUGCCACCCUGAACCCAGCGAGCCCUGAUCCGCAGCCAGGAUCCGGGCGACCCGAAGAUCCAGAUCGUGAGCCAGAGGGUGGGGCUGGUGGAGAGCCGCACGCGACAGGUGGACAGCCACGUGGAGCCGUUCGAGGCGCAGCAGGAGCAGGGCGACGCGGCGGGCGACAGCGUAGGGUCGGCCGGUACCGGCCCAGAGGCGAGGCGACCGCGCAGGCGGAGAAACCCAACAGGAAAGCGCUCCUGGCGGCAGCACAACAACGAGAACCGCGAGAACGCGUCCAACAACCGCGACCACAACGUCACCUCGGCCACGCCCAAGGAAAUGAAAGCCGAGACCUCCAAGAAGAAGCAGCGCUCCUUGGCCAAGACGUAGCGGCAGGCGUCCCCCGCGGACUUCCCCAUCGAUUCCAGCGAGCCCUCCUACUGGGAGAUGAUCCGCUGCGACAACGAGUGCCCUAUCGGGUGGUUCCACUUCUCGUGCAUGGGUCUCAGCGAUAAACCAAAGCGCAAGUGGUACUGUCCCAGAUGCCGGGGAUCGGGGGGAAACGAUGGACAAAGCCCUUGGGAAGUCCAAAAACACAGGGCUUACAACAGAUAGCUUGGGGACAUGCAUGUAAUAGUGAGGAGAACAAAAUAAACCAAUGUAUUGAUUGAAUUGCCACCUUUGUUGAGGUGCAGGGAGUGUAAAAUGUAUAUUUUUAAAGAAUGUUAGAAAAGGAGCCAUUCCUUUCAUAGGGAUGGCAGUGAUUCUCUUUGCCUUUUGUUUUCAUUGGCAGACAUGUGUAACAACAAAAUGGUCUGUGAUCAACAUUUUAGAAACUACAAAUAUAGGUUUGAAUUAAACACUUUAAAAAGAAUGCCAUUAAAGAAAUAAUGUCAAUACAGAACGUGCUGCCACCUUCACAAGACUGGAAAACAGGUCGGAACUAAUGUCAUAUCCCAGAUGCUUUCUUUCCUCCAUACACACCUGAGCCUGUGUUUCUCACUGUUUGCUUUUCUUAGAGCCCUUUCCACUAUGACCACUGGAACCCCUGCUCAAUGAGAAACAAACUCCCGUACAUCCUGGCUUUCUUCACUGAACUUUGCCCUCUAGCUCCUGCCUUGACUGGACUGGGCUCUCUCCCGAGGCUCCUGCUUCCCCACAGCCUGCUCCAGGCUUUCUCCCUCGAUUUCUGCCUGUGAAAAAGAUGGGCUGGCUGGUCGGAGUGCAGUGGUGUUGACAACUAAUUGAUCACAACCAGUUACAUAUUUCUUUGUUCCUUCUCCACUUA